RNAcentral lists this transfer RNA (73 nucleotides) under Babesia sp. Xinjiang. It matches the Rfam family "tRNA". Rfam says of the family: Transfer RNA (tRNA) molecules are approximately 80 nucleotides in length. Their secondary structure includes four short double-helical elements and three loops (D, anti-codon, and T loops). Further hydrogen bonds mediate the characteristic L-shaped molecular structure. tRNAs have two regions of fundamental functional importance: the anti-codon, which is responsible for specific mRNA codon recognition, and the 3' end, to which the tRNAs corresponding amino acid is attached (by aminoacyl-tRNA synthetases). tRNAs cope with the degeneracy of the genetic code in two manners: having more than one tRNA (with a specific anti-codon) for a particular amino acid; and 'wobble' base-pairing, i.e. permitting non-standard base-pairing at the 3rd anti-codon position. RNAcentral also lists the same sequence under 1 other name. The record is from Rfam by way of RNAcentral. Lineage: Eukaryota; Apicomplexa; Aconoidasida; Piroplasmida; Babesiidae.
UCCUUAAUAGCUUAAAAGGUAGAGCAAUCGAUUGUUAAUCGGUUUGAUAAUAGUUCGAAUCUAUUUUAAGGAG